UACGGGGGGAGCAAGCGUUGUUCGGAUUUACUGGGCGUAAAGGGCGCGUAGGCGGUCAGCACAAGUCAGUUGUGAAAUCUCCGGGCUUAACUCGGAAAGGUCAACUGAUACUGUGCGACUAGAGUGCAGAAGGGGCAACUGGAAUUCUCGGUGUAGCGGUGAAAUGCGCAGAUAUCAGGAGGAACACCGGUGGCGAAGGCGGGUCUCUGGGCCGUAACUGACGCUGAGGAGCGAAAGCAUGGGGAGCGAACAGG
Molecule: ribosomal RNA, 254 nt
Filed under: uncultured bacterium
Lineage: Bacteria
Description: partial 16S ribosomal RNA
Rfam family: Bacterial small subunit ribosomal RNA
Source: RNAcentral